UACGUAGGGGGCUAGCGUUGUCCGGAUUUAUUGGGCGUAAAGAGCGUGUAGGCGGCCAGGUAGGUCUGCUGUGAAAACUCGAGGCUCAACCUCGAGAUGUCGGCGGAAACCAUCUGGCUAGAGUCCGGAAGAGGAGAGUGGAAUUCCUGGCGUAGCGGUGAAAUGCGCAGAUAUCAGGAAGAACACCCGUGGCGAAGGCGGCUCUCUGGGACGGUACUGACGCUGAGACGCGAAAGCGUGGGGAGCAAACGGG
Molecule: ribosomal RNA, 253 nt
Filed under: uncultured bacterium
Lineage: Bacteria
Description: partial 16S ribosomal RNA
Rfam family: Bacterial small subunit ribosomal RNA
Source: RNAcentral